GAUGAAAGAACGUAGCGAAAUGCGAUACUUGGUGUGAAUUGCAGAAUCCCGUGAACCAUCGAGUCUUUGAACGCAAGUUGCGCCCGAAGCCUCGGCUAAGGGCACGUCUGCCUGGGCGUCACGCAUCGCGUCUCCCCCAAACCGCCAUGGCGGAGGGGAAGGAAGAUGGCUUCCCGUGCCUCACCCGGCGCGGUUGGCCUAAAUUAGGAGCCCGCGGCACUUAGCUCUCGCGGCUAUAGGUGGUGAACAAGGCCUUGGCCGUGCAAACAACCCGCCGCGAAGCUCUAUGCCAUGUGCGCUCGUCGGACCCUUUGAAGUUGCCUUUGGUGACUUAAAACCUUUGCGACCCCAGGUCAGGCGGGGCUACCCGCUGAAUUUAAGCAUAUCAAUAAGCGGAGGA
Molecule: unclassified non-coding RNA, 400 nt
Filed under: soil metagenome
Description: partial contains 5.8S ribosomal RNA, internal transcribed spacer 2, and large subunit ribosomal RNA
Rfam family: 5.8S ribosomal RNA (bases 6-121)
Source: RNAcentral